Small nucleolar RNA from Nothoprocta perdicaria, 139 nucleotides. Its record names the gene SNORA75. It matches the Rfam family "Small nucleolar RNA SNORA75". From Rfam's summary of the family: U23 belongs to the H/ACA class of snoRNAs. snoRNAs bind a number of proteins (including dyskerin, Gar1p and Nop10p in the case of the H/ACA class) to form snoRNP complexes. This class are thought to guide the sites of modification of uridines to pseudouridines by forming direct base pairing interactions with substrate RNAs. Targets include ribosomal and spliceosomal RNAs as well as the Trypanosoma spliced leader RNA (SL RNA) as possibly other, still unknown cellular RNAs. NCBI's taxonomy places the organism in Eukaryota, Metazoa, Chordata, Aves, Tinamiformes, Tinamidae. The record is from Ensembl.
AUCUUCUCUUUGAGCUCCUUCCUGCCAACAAAUCCAUGGCAGCCUAUGGAUUCGCACGAGAAGAAUAUUAACUGUUCAGUAUUGGCAAUCUCACACUGUGGCUCCAUGAGCUGUGGUUCGCCAUCGCUGUUCAACAGGU